This 492-nucleotide ribosomal RNA is filed under the name uncultured bacterium. RNAcentral's name for it is "partial 16S ribosomal RNA". It matches the Rfam family "Bacterial small subunit ribosomal RNA", at positions 29 to 507 of the family's 1533-position model. The record is from RNAcentral.
AGUGAACGCUGGCGGUAGGCCUAACACAUGCAAGUCGAACGGCAGCACAGUAAGAGCUUGCUCUUACGGGUGGCGAGUGGCGGACGGGUGAGGAAUACAUCGGAAUCUACUUUUUCGUGGGGGAUAACGUAGGGAAACUUACGCUAAUACCGCAUACGACCUACGGGUGAAAGCAGGGGAUCUUCGGACCUUGCGCGAUUGAAUGAGCCGAUGUCGGAUUAGCUAGUUGGCGGGGUAAAGGCCCACCAAGGCGACGAUCCGUAGCUGGUCUGAGAGGAUGAUCAGCCACACUGGAACUGAGACACGGUCCAGACUCCUACGGGAGGCAGCAGUGGGGAAUAUUGGACAAUGGGCGUAAGCCUGAUCCAGCCAUACCGCGUGGGUGAAGAAGGCCUUCGGGUUGUAAAGCCCUUUUGUUGGGAAAGAAAAGCAGCAGGUUAAUACCCCGCUGUUCUGACGGUACCCAAAGAAUAAGCACUGGCUAACUUCGUG